This 414-nucleotide ribosomal RNA is filed under the name uncultured microorganism. RNAcentral describes it as "bacterial SSU rRNA". It matches the Rfam family "Archaeal small subunit ribosomal RNA", at positions 459 to 872 of the family's 1478-position model. The record is from RNAcentral.
CAGCCGCCGCGGUAAUACCGGCGGCCCGAGUGGCGGUCACUAUUAUUGGGCUUAAAGCGUCCGUAGCCGGGUUGGGAAGUCCUCCGGGAAAUCUGGCCGCUUAACGGUCAGAAUGCCGGAGGAUACUCCCAGCCUAGGGAGCGGGAGAGGCCGAGGGUAUUCCCGGAGUAGGGGUGAAAUCCUAUAAUCCCGGGAGGGCCACCUGUGGCGAAGGCGCUCGGCUGGAACGCGUCCGACGGUGAGGGACGAAGGCCAGGGGAGCAAACCGGAUUAGAUACCCGGGUAGUCCUGGCUGUAAACGAUGCGGACUUUGUGUCGGACAAGCUAUGAGCUUGUCCGGUGCCGGAGGGAAACCGUUAAGUCCGCCGCCUGGGGAGUACGGCCGCAAGGCUGAAACUUAAAGGAAUUGGCGGG